UGCCAUGCAUGUCUAAGUAUAAACAAAUCUAUACUGUGAAACUGCGAAUGGCUCAUUAUAUCAGUUAUAGUUUAUUUGAUGGUUCUUGCUACUUGGAUAACCGUAGUAAUUCUAGAGCUAAUACAUGCACCAAACCUCGACUUUUUUGGAAGAGGUGUAUUUAUUAGAUGGAAACCAAUGCGGGGCAACCCGGAUUCAGGUGAUUCAUAAUAACUUUCGGAUCGAUCUUCGGAUCGAUGCAUCAUUCAAGUUUCUGCCCUAUCAGCUUUGGAUGGUAGGGUAUUGGCCUACCAUGGCUUUAACGGGUAACGGAGAAUUAGGGUUCGAUUCCGGAGAGGGAGCCUGAGAAACGGCAACCACAUCCAAGGAAGGCAGCAGGCGCGUAAAUUACCCAAUCCUGACACAGGGAGGUAGUGACAAUGAAUAACAAUGCCGGGCCUUUUUAAGUCUGGCAAUUGGAAUGAGAACAAUUUAAAUCCCUUAUCGAGGAUCAAUUGGAGGGCAAGUCUGGUGCCAGCAGCCGCGGUAAUUCCAGCUCCAAUAGCGUAUACUAAAGUUGUUGCAGUUAAAAAGCUCGUAGUUGGAUUUCUGGCGUCGGCUUUCGGCCCUUCUCGCGAGAGUUGCGUGCUUUGAGUUCGGCGCCAUCCUCGGGCAGACCACGUCUUGCAUUCAUUUGCCGGGCGCGCGUAUCUCCCGUCUUUUACUGUGAGCAAACUAGAGUGUUCAAAGCAGGCUUAUGCCGUUGAAUAAUUUAGCAUGAAAUAAUAAGAUAUGACCUUGGUCAAUUUUGUUGGUUUAUA
This 800-nucleotide ribosomal RNA is filed under the name uncultured stramenopile. Its description in RNAcentral is "bacterial SSU rRNA". It matches the Rfam family "Eukaryotic small subunit ribosomal RNA", at positions 47 to 853 of the family's 1831-position model. The record is from RNAcentral.